Long non-coding RNA from Mus musculus (house mouse), 276 nucleotides. RefSeq annotates it as predicted gene, 40681. NCBI's taxonomy places the organism in Eukaryota, Metazoa, Chordata, Mammalia, Rodentia, Muridae. The record is from RefSeq and is a predicted model, not a curated record. The transcript is spliced from 3 exons.
UUCUCUUUUCCAGUCAUGGAAUCAUCUAGGGAAUGGAAAUUGUUGGCCAUGUCCCACAGGCCUGACUGUACUGUUAGGAUCCUUAUUCUUAGGAGCCAUAGCUGGGUAGGAGUGUUGAGCUGACGUCCCUUCUCCUCUAAGAAACCUGCUGAACACCUUCCUGUGGCCCUGUGAAAACCAGCCAGUGAGGUAUGGUGGCAUUUAGAUACUGUCCUUGGGAAUUACCCAUGUUCCUCGUUUAUUUGUACCUGCCUACUAAAACAGAAAAACAAAAGG